GGACCAAGGAGUUCCAGAGCACGAUGCUACGAGUCUUUGGCAGCGCCAUUGCUGACGCGUAAUNNNNNNUGACCAUGAAGGCAGCCUCGCUCAGUGCCUAAGGGAAGACGCGCGACAUUGACUAGUCGACAUCGUACAUCUCAAGACAGUUUCAUUUGCUUUCUUAUUGACGGGUAAAAAGGCGAACCUUUGCCAGCUGUACUCGCUGGGACCC
This 214-nucleotide ribosomal RNA is filed under the name Pselaphaulax sp. CHANDLER Type 1. RNAcentral's name for it is "partial 28S ribosomal RNA". The record is from RNAcentral. Lineage: Eukaryota; Metazoa; Arthropoda; Insecta; Coleoptera; Staphylinidae.